UACGUAGGGUGCAAGCGUUAAUCGGAAUUACUGGGCGUAAAGCGUGCGCAGGCGGCUUUGCAAGACAGAUGUGAAAUCCCCGGGCUUAACCUGGGAACUGCAUUUGUGACUGGCGGGCUAGAGUAUGGCAGAGGGGGGUAGAAUUCCGCGUGUAGCAGUGAAAUGCGUAGAUAUGCGGAGGAACACCGAUGGCGAAGGCAAUCCCCUGGGCCUGCACUGACGCUCAUGCACGAAAGCGUGGGGAGCAAACAGG
Molecule: ribosomal RNA, 253 nt
Filed under: uncultured bacterium
Lineage: Bacteria
Description: partial 16S ribosomal RNA
Rfam family: Bacterial small subunit ribosomal RNA
Source: RNAcentral